This is a long non-coding RNA of Equus caballus (horse), 2149 nucleotides long. The record is from Ensembl. NCBI's taxonomy places the organism in Eukaryota, Metazoa, Chordata, Mammalia, Perissodactyla, Equidae.
CGCCUGUGUGCGCGGAACCGAGCGGGAGGCGCUCCCCGCGCUGGCGGCCGCGUGAAGGCAGGCUACCGCCGGGGCCGCCCGCGAGCCGCCAUCGGCCCGCCCCCGAGGCGCCUUCAACGCGCCAGGGCGGCAGCUCGGCGCUCGGGUCCCCGGCCGUCCCCAGCCCGCGCCGCGCACGCGCACAGCCGCCCUCGCUGCCGCCCGCGCAAGGCCGCCGCGCAAGGGCGAUCCCGGGGACAGGGCGACGCUGCGCCACGGAAGCCCCUCCUCAGCUUCCGCCGGCGGCGCCGGGAUCUGACGGCUUCCCUCAGAGGGAAAAGAGGUGGAACGCGUGAUUUUGGAUUAGUGACCCCUGGGCCCCCUUCCCCAGCGCCUCCCGAGCCGGAGCCCGUUCUCGGCGGACGACCCCCAGGACUCCAGCUGAGCCCCUCCUCACAGUCCACCGAUGCGAGGUCUGAGGGGAGCCUUCGAGUCACUGCUCCCUCGGUCAAACGGGAGGAUUCCUCCACCGCCUUCAGCCCUUGAGCACGCGACGUUCAUUCCCGAAAUACGGGAGUGCCCUCCCUCGCGGUUCGCGUUUCACUGUCGGUUGCGCCCGCCGGGCACCGUCCGUCUGUCCAGCGGAUCCGCGCUGUGCGGGCUACCUGCCCGUUAGUCACUUAGCAGCGGUCUUGGUUGUUAGGUGGACUGUCGAGGGAUGGCAGUGCUCGUGUCCAAGUAACUUUUAUUUUGCUCAAUAAUGGCCCCAAAGUGCGAAAGUAGUGAUGCUGGCAAUUCGGAGAUGCCAAAGAGAAGCCCUAAAGUGCUUCCUUUGAGUUAAACCGUGUGGAAGUUCUCGACUUAAUAAGGAAAGAAAAAAAAUCAUUCGCUGAGGUUGCUCAGAUCUCUGACUGGCCCUGAGCUAACAUCCAUGACCAUCUUCCUCCACUUUAUAUGUGGGAUGCCUACCACAGCAUGGCUUGCCAAGCGGUACGAUGUCCACACCCGGGAUCCGAACCAGCGAACCCUGGGAUGCUGAGAAGCGGAAGGAAACUGCCAAACUGUUUUCACCAUUUCAAAUUGCCACCAGCAGAGUAUGACAGUACCUGUUGCUUUGCAUUUUUGUCAACACUUGAUAUUGUCAGCAGUUUUUAUUGAGCCAUUCUAAUAGAGGCAGUAGGAUGAAAAAGAAGACAUUUGGACAACUCUGCCCUGUCAACCCCUCUCUGCUCAGAGGUGCACAAAGGCAUGGAGUGUUACAGAGGAAGAAACUUUGAAUGGAGAACACUCAAUUCGAGCCCAUUCAUUAAUAGGUGAAGAAUCCGAGGCCCAACAGCAAGGUGACUUCCUAACUUCAACCAGGCACCACCAUGGAAAAUCAGGGCCUGUUUUGGGUCUCAGUAAUCCGGAAGAACAAUGCACUUCAGGGCCCAAUGUCUAACAGCCGAUUUCCUAGAAGCAACUGCAGAGGGUGAGGACAACCCAAAAUUCAUCUCAUUUCUCAAAGAGAAGACAAAAUUUCUCCCAGAGGACUUUUGGCAGUGUCUGGAGACAUUUUUGUUGUCACAACUUGGGGAUGGGGUAUGGUGGUGCUACUGGAUGCUGGCGUUUACAGGCCAGGGAUACCCCUCAACAUCCUGAAAUGCAGAGGACAGCCCCACAACAAAGAGCUAUGCAGCCCCAAAUCUCAACAGCGCUGAAGUUGAGCAAGCUCCUUUAUUCCUAUUCAUUUCCUGUUGAUUAAUGAUGGAAUUCUUAGAGCGCACUCACGCUUGACGUCUUCAAGCGGUAAAAGGUAUCACUGUCCCCAUGCACUACUACUUUCAAGAAAUGCUGUGUUCAUUAUUGGCUAUUUGUGUUUCUUGAAUUUUAGUGAUUUCUGUAUCACUUUCACUUUUUAGCCGAUCAUCGUUGUAUAAGACAAUUUGUACUCUAGUAUACAGCAACAAAUUGCUUGCCCUGAAUUUACAUUUAGCUGUUUUUCUUUAAUAAAAAUCAAAGAAUUGUGUGUCCUGCCUUUGUAAGUCCUAAACACAUAGCGUAAGUUUUUGCCGACUGUGAAUUUUUAAUACUAACUUCAAAUAAAACAGUUUUUUGGAGACCAUAAUGUCGGUUUUAAAAAAUGAAAAAUCUAAAACCAUCUACUUCCACGUGGAGUAGCAUAGCAGCU